GACGAACGCUGGCGGCGUGCUUAACACAUGCAUGUCGAACGGAAAGGCCCUGCUUUUGUGGGGUGCUCGAGUGGCGAACGGGUGAGUAACACGUGAGUAACCUGCCCUUGACUUUGGGAUAACUUCAGGAAACUGGGGCUAAUACCGGAUAGGAGCUCCUGCUGCAUGGUGGGGGUUGGAAAGUUUCGGCGGUUGGGUAUGGACUCGCGGCUUAUCAGCUUGUUGGUGGGGUAGUGGCUUACCAAGGCUUUGACGGGUAGCCGGCCUGAGAGGGUGACCGGCCACAUUGGGACUGAGAUACGGCCCAGACUCCUACGGGAGGCAGCAGUGGGGAAUAUUGCACAAUGGGCGGAAGCCUGAUGCAGCAACGCCGCGUGCGGGAUGACGGCCUUCGGGUUGUAAACCGCUUUCGCCUGUGACGAAGCGUGAGUGACGGUAAUGGGUAAAGAAGCACCGGCUAACUACGUG
RNAcentral lists this ribosomal RNA (468 nucleotides) under uncultured bacterium. Its description in RNAcentral is "partial 16S ribosomal RNA". It matches the Rfam family "Bacterial small subunit ribosomal RNA", at positions 28 to 507 of the family's 1533-position model. The record is from RNAcentral.